GAUGAACGCUGGCGGCGUGCCUAAUACAUGCGAGUCGAGCGAACAGAUAAGGAGCUUGCUCCUUUGACGUUAGCGGCGGACGGGUGAGUAACACGUGGGUAACCUACCUAUAAGACUGGGAUAACUUCGGGAAACCGGAGCUAAUACCGGAUAACAUUUGGAACCGCAUGGUUCUAAAGUGAAAGAUGGUUUUGCUAUCACUUAUAGAUGGACCCGCGCCGUAUUAGCUAGUUGGUAGGGUAACGGCUUACCAAGGCGACGAUACGUAGCCGGCCUGAGAGGAUGACGAGCCACACUGGAACUGAGACACGGUCCAGACUCCUACGGGAGGCAGCAGUGGGGAAUAUUGCACAAUGGGCGCAAGCCUGAUGCAGCCAUGCCGCGUGUAUGAAGAAGGCCUUCGGGUUGUAAAGUACUUUCAGCGGGGAGGAAGGGAGUAAAGUUAAUACCUUUGCUCAUUGACGUUACCCGCAGAAGAAGCACCGGCUAACUCCGUG
RNAcentral lists this ribosomal RNA (497 nucleotides) under uncultured bacterium. Its description in RNAcentral is "partial 16S ribosomal RNA". It matches the Rfam family "Bacterial small subunit ribosomal RNA", at positions 28 to 507 of the family's 1533-position model. The record is from RNAcentral.